AGUGAACGCUGGCGGUAGGCCUAACACAUGCAAGUCGAACGGCAGCACAGUAAGAGCUUGCUCUUACGGGUGGCGAGUGGCGGACGGGUGAGGAAUACAUCGGAAUCUACUUUUUCGUGGGGGAUAACGUAGGGAAACUUACGCUAAUACCGCAUACGACCUACGGGUGAAAGCAGGGGAUCUUCGGACCUUGCGCGAUUGAAUGAGCCGAUGUCGGAUUAGCUAGUUGGCGGGGUAAAGGCCCACCAAGGCGACGAUCCGUAGCUGGUCUGAGAGGAUGAUCGGCCACACUGGAGCUGGGACACGGUCCAGACUCCUGCGGGAGGCAGCAGUGGGGAAUAUUGGACAAUGGGCGCAAGCCUGAUCCAGCCAUACCGCGUGGGUGAAGGAGGCCUUCGGGUUGUAAAGCCCUUUUGUUGGGAAAGAAAAGCAGCAGGUUAAUACCCCGCUGUUCUGACGGUACCCAAAGAAUAAGCACCGGCUAACUUCGUG
This 492-nucleotide ribosomal RNA is filed under the name uncultured bacterium. Its description in RNAcentral is "partial 16S ribosomal RNA". It matches the Rfam family "Bacterial small subunit ribosomal RNA", at positions 29 to 507 of the family's 1533-position model. The record is from RNAcentral.